ACGGGUGAGUAAUGUCUGGGAAACUGCCUGAUGGAGGGGGAUAACUACUGGAAACGGUAGCUGAUACCGCAUAACGUCGCAAGACCAAAGAGGGGGACCUUCGGGCCUCUUGCCAUCAGAUGUGCCCAGAUGGGAUUAGCUAGUAGGUGGGGUAACGGCUCACCUAGGCGACGAUCCCUAGCUGGUCUGAGAGGAUGACCAGCCACACUGGAACUGAGACACGGUCCAGACUCCUACGGGAGGCAGCAUG
RNAcentral lists this ribosomal RNA (250 nucleotides) under uncultured bacterium. RNAcentral's name for it is "partial 16S ribosomal RNA". It matches the Rfam family "Bacterial small subunit ribosomal RNA", at positions 102 to 353 of the family's 1533-position model. The record is from RNAcentral.